Molecule: long non-coding RNA, 769 nt
Filed under: Phoenix dactylifera (date palm)
Lineage: Eukaryota; Viridiplantae; Streptophyta; Magnoliopsida; Arecales; Arecaceae
Description: long non-coding RNA (PDAC_LNC000773)
Source: RNAcentral
AGAGGGAUGUUGAAUGAGGGAGAGAGAAAAGGGGUGAGGGAGAGGAGUUGAGAGGAAGUAGGCGAUUAGGACCAUCCAAAGUCAGAGAUUAGGGCACCAAAUUCCAUAGAAAAUAAUAAAAAAAAGAAGAUAGGUAAUCAGUUAGAAACCAAUUAAGGCAAAUUUUAUGAUAUAUUCGUAAUAAGAAAUGGUUAAAAUGAGCCUCUAUCUCCUAACAAAAGAUAAACAAGCAUUAUAGCAAAGUCCAAGAACUGAAUGGCCACGCACCGGAUCUAGACUCAUCAAUAAUAAUGUACAAGAUUUGUGUACCAUCAGGAUUUUGUCUUUUUUUCCCCUAUUGCAAAAGGGGCAUUUAAUUAAUGGAGAAGAAAGUUGCAAACUAAUAGUGUCUAUGAGGAAAAUUUAUAGCAUUUUUUAAAGGAUCUCUUGCAUGCUUGAGAUAAAUGUUGGAGUAUAGAGUGGGGUUUAUGAUAUACAUUUUGUAUCAUAAGAUCAUCACACGUUUUUAAGUGUUAGGGUAUACAUAUAGUUCUUAUGAAAGGGGCAACAUUCCAUCCCAAAGUAAUGAAAAGAUGGUCAUUAAGGUUUUGAAAAGGCUGUUCUAAUGAUCUACUCUGAUGAAUUUGUUGUACUAUGUUAUAUAAGCUGUAAUUGAAAUUUUGAUAACAGUUCCAUGAUAGUGGCUGUUAUAUAUGGUAACUAUAUAGGACAAUAGAGGGUGUUAUUCGGCAAUUGUAGACAAAACAAAAUAAUGCCACGAAUUUUUUUU